CUGCUGUGAUGACCAUCUUAGGACACCUUUGGAUUAAAGAUGAAAACAAUCAUUGAAUGAUCUGAGCUGC
Molecule: small nucleolar RNA, 70 nt
Organism: Parambassis ranga (Indian glassy fish)
Lineage: Eukaryota; Metazoa; Chordata; Actinopteri; Ambassidae
Gene: SNORD58
Rfam family: Small nucleolar RNA SNORD58
About the family: snoRNA U58 is found in introns 1, 3 and 6 of the ribosomal protein RPL17 gene in humans.
Source: Ensembl